Molecule: ribosomal RNA, 27 nt
Filed under: ascomycete sp. MA 4776
Lineage: Eukaryota; Fungi; Ascomycota
Description: 18S ribosomal RNA
Source: RNAcentral
UCCUUCCGUAGGUGAACCUGCGGAAGG